CCAGGGACAGAAGAGGGCCCAGCCUCGGCUGUCAAAACCCCAGUGGCCCCGAGACCACUUGGGUUCACCUUGCCGGGCCUCAGUGUCCUCAUCUGUAACACAGGGAGAGUUGUGUACUUCAGAGUCUGACAUACGGUUAAUGGGCCUUGGUGGUGGGGGUAUUCGGCCCUGGCCACCCUCUCACCUGUCCCCAGGUCUCUGAAUGUGGACAUGGAGUGGCUGUAUGGGGCCAGUGAGAACAGCAAUAUGGAGGUGGACAUUGGCUAUAUCCCCCAGGUGAGCACACAAGUGGUCCCGACCCAGGGAAGGAGACAGGAUUCAGCUGCAGGGCUGGGUGUCUCAGGCGGUCCAGGGUGAAGGACAGAGCCCCUGGCAGGCCGAGGCCAACUGUCCCCGAAGUGGGAUUCUGGGAAACCACCAGACCCUGCACAGAAAACCCACCAGCUGUCUUCAGCCCCCAGGUGGCUUCACAUAGUAGAAGGAGCCCCUGAUGGACACUGGCUCUGUCCCAGACUCACUGCGGCCUUGACCAGGCCCUGCCCUUCCCAGAGCCUCAGUCUCUCCACCUUUGCAAUGAGUGGGAUAUCUUUGAGGGUCUCUUAAGGAUUCUUGCCCAUCUCUGAGACACCCUCACUGAUGUCAACCCCCACUGACCUCUGGGCCAGAUGGAACUGGAGGCCCUGGGCCCGUCGGUGCCUUCUGUGAUCCUGG
This 711-nucleotide long non-coding RNA is filed under the name Lynx pardinus (Iberian lynx). Lineage: Eukaryota; Metazoa; Chordata; Mammalia; Carnivora; Felidae. The record is from RNAcentral.